GUCUCUUUCUUCUGUACCACACACGAUUGGGUUGAGUCUCCAAUUUAUCUUUUAGUCAGUUUUUUUGUUAUGAUACUCAACCAUCAAAUAGUUUUCAAAGGCUUAAGAUAUAUUUUUGUUGUUGUUGAAAGACCAUGGUGUCUCUUAUUUAAUAGCACUCCAUUUCUUAGGAAAGCUAAGAUGACUUCCCCUUCUUCCUUUGCCACCCAACUGUCUUAGUCAGGAUUUGUGUUCCUGCACAAAACAUCAUGGCCAAGAAGCAAGUUGGGGAGGAAAGGGUUUACACUUCCAUAUUGCUGUUCAUCACCAAAGGAAGUCAGAACUGGAACUCAAGCAGGUCAGGAAGCAGGAGCUGAUGCAGAGGCCAUAGAGGGAUGUUACUUACUGGCUUGCUUCCCCUGGCUUGCUCAGCUUGCUCUCUUGUAGAACCCAGGACUAUCAGCCCAGGGAUGGCGCCACCCACAAUGGGCUGGGCCCUUCCCCCUUGAUCACUAACUGAGAACAUGCCUUACAGCUGGGACUCAUCGAAGCAUUUCCUCAAGGGAGACUCCUUUCUCUGUGAUAACUCCAGUUUGUGUCAAGUUGACACACAAAACCAGCCAUUCACCCACCAAUAUCCUGAGCACCACGGAAUAAGUCAUUGGUCAGCCGUGUGAGCGGUGCUGAACAAAUGCCCUUGUUUAGUUGUCUGCCCCGGGGUACAAUCAUUCUCUACUCUCAAAAUGGAGCUGCUUAUGAAACCGUCUUCCAGGACAAUAUGUAGGAGUCCCCGCAGAUGUUUUGGCUGACAGGGGAAAGCUCCACGAACGGGUAAGUAUUGCACCUCUGUUUGGUUUGACUCAGACAGGCUGGCUCAAACAUCAGGAGUCUGAUGCCAGGUGCUUUACUGUCCGCGCGUCUAAACACAUUGCAAUUGGGAACAGGGUUUCUAGGCAACACUCAUUUCAAUUCCAGGACACGGUAAAGCUUAAAGUGGGACUGCAUAGAAGCUCCUUUGCAAACUACAGGUGACACGAAGACGGGUUCUGUAGCUUAAAGACUUAGAUCCAGUGUGGUCUCUGACAGAGGUGGCAUAGAGGUCAGUAGGGUAUGAAACACAUGUGACAUCUUCCCCCACCCCCCAAGGAUGGGUUCCAUUAAAUGGGCACUAAAGAUAAAGUUAUGGAGAGGAAGAGUCUGGAAUAAUCGUUCUGGGGGAUUUGGGUGAGGUCGCCCUGUUACUAACAGCAGCCACACUCAGCUUUCUGGAUGGAAUGCAGCUGUUUUAUUUUCCCCAGUGAGAAGAUACCUCUGCAUGUUGUUUAACAUCUCUGAUUUCCCCAGGGAUUAUCUGUGAAUUCAAGGAUCUUGUGCCCUCCACAGCAAGGCACAGGGUGGAAUAGCUGGU
Molecule: long non-coding RNA, 1387 nt
Filed under: Rattus norvegicus (Norway rat)
Lineage: Eukaryota; Metazoa; Chordata; Mammalia; Rodentia; Muridae
Description: long non-coding RNA NONRATT032336
Source: RNAcentral